RNAcentral lists this ribosomal RNA (560 nucleotides) under Bacillus sp. (in: firmicutes). RNAcentral's name for it is "bacterial SSU rRNA". It matches the Rfam family "Bacterial small subunit ribosomal RNA", at positions 56 to 599 of the family's 1533-position model. Lineage: Bacteria; Bacillati; Bacillota; Bacilli; Caryophanales; Bacillaceae. The record is from RNAcentral.
UGCAGUCGAGCGGACAGAUGGGAGCUUGCUCCCUGAUGUUAGCGGCGGACGGGUGAGUAACACGUGGGUAACCUGCCUGUAAGACUGGGAUAACUCCGGGAAACCGGGGCUAAUACCGGAUGGUUGUUUGAACCGCAUGGUUCAGACAUAAAAGGUGGCUUCGGCUACCACUUACAGAUGGACCCGCGGCGCAUUAGCUAGUUGGUGAGGUAACGGCUCACCAAGGCAACGAUGCGUAGCCGACCUGAGAGGGUGAUCGGCCACACUGGGACUGAGACACGGCCCAGACUCCUACGGGAGGCAGCAGUAGGGAAUCUUCCGCAAUGGACGAAAGUCUGACGGAGCAACGCCGCGUGAGUGAUGAAGGUUUUCGGAUCGUAAAGCUCUGUUGUUAGGGAAGAACAAGUGCCGUUCAAAUAGGGCGGCACCUUGACGGUACCUAACCAGAAAGCCACGGCUAACUACUUGCCAGCAGCCGCGGUAAUACGUAGGUGGCAAGCGUUGUCCGGAAUUAUUGGGCGUAUAGGGCUCGCAGGCGGUUUCUUAAGUCUGAUGUGAAA